AGAAAAUCAGCUCUGUACAAUCAAAUCCGAUGAAACAUUGUACAGAGU
Molecule: regulatory RNA element, 48 nt
Organism: Blautia sp. An249
Lineage: Bacteria; Bacillati; Bacillota; Clostridia; Lachnospirales; Lachnospiraceae
Rfam family: uup RNA
Source: Rfam